AGUAACACGUGGGCAACCUGCCUUAUAGAGGGGAAUAGCCUUCCGAAAGGAAGAUUAAUACCGCAUAAGAUUGUAGCUUCGCAUGAAGUAGCAAUUAAAGGAGCAAUCCGCUAUAAGAUGGGCCCGCGGCGCAUUAGCUAGUUGGUGAGGUAACGGCUCACCAAGGCGACAAUGCGUAGCCGACCUGAGAGGGUGAUCGGCCACAUUGGGACUGAGACACGGCCCAGACUCCUACGGGAGGCAGCAUG
This 248-nucleotide ribosomal RNA is filed under the name uncultured bacterium. RNAcentral describes it as "partial 16S ribosomal RNA". It matches the Rfam family "Bacterial small subunit ribosomal RNA", at positions 109 to 353 of the family's 1533-position model. The record is from RNAcentral.